UACGGAGGGGACUAGCGUUGUUCGGAAUUACUGGGCGUAAAGCGCACGUAGGCGGAUUGGAAGUCAGAGGUGAAUACCUCAGGGCUCAACCUUGGAACUGCCUUUGAAACUCCCAGUCUUGAGUUCGAGAGAGGCGAGUGGAAUUCCUGGUGUAGCGGUGGAAUGCGCAGAUAUCAGGAGGAACACCGAUGGCGAAGGCAGCUCGCUGGGACGGUACUGACGCUGAGGCGCGAAAGCGUGGGGAGCAAACAGG
Molecule: ribosomal RNA, 253 nt
Filed under: uncultured bacterium
Lineage: Bacteria
Description: partial 16S ribosomal RNA
Rfam family: Bacterial small subunit ribosomal RNA
Source: RNAcentral